Molecule: long non-coding RNA, 226 nt
Filed under: Ananas comosus (pineapple)
Lineage: Eukaryota; Viridiplantae; Streptophyta; Magnoliopsida; Poales; Bromeliaceae
Description: long non-coding RNA (ACOM_LNC013178)
Source: RNAcentral
UAUUUAAUGAGUAGAACCGAUUAUUCCUAGCGUAGGUGGUAAAAGGCUUAAUGGUUGCUAUCCGAAGUUUCAAAUUCGAAUCUUAGUUGAUUCAUAUUUUCAGCUAAAUUUAUUUUUAAAUAAAAUAAACGAAACGGUUAGUAUGCUACCUAUCUCUCUCAAAAAUAAUAAUAAUAAUGAGUAAUACUAAAAACUCUCAAGUUCAAAGUCUAAAUCUCUUUUCAUC